Long non-coding RNA from Melitaea cinxia (Glanville fritillary), 969 nucleotides. RefSeq lists it as uncharacterized. The record is from RefSeq and is a predicted model, not a curated record. Lineage: Eukaryota; Metazoa; Arthropoda; Insecta; Lepidoptera; Nymphalidae. The transcript is spliced from 4 exons.
GUUAAACAAAAAAAAAGUGUACUAUAAACUUCUCUCUACACGUUUACUCGGUGUGUAUUGUGUACAAAAUACGAACUUGUGGACUAAUUUAGCUAGAUAAAAAUUUGUGUUGUGUGUAAAGCUUCGUUUUAUGUUUAAUUACGUAAAACAUUUAAGAUGGCUUUUAUGUAUGCAUUAGUUUUAUUUUUAAAUGAUUCGUCCAAUAAAGAAAUUGAUAUAUUGAAUAUCGUGGUACCGGAUGUAAAUAGCCUGAAUCAUUGUUAAAAAGUAUUAAGUAUUGUAAAUUAUUACAAACGAUAGUUAAACAUUGUGAAGGGUCUGACUGACAUGGCCAACGUUUUAUGUUCAAAUAACUGGCACAGCAGAAACAAUGGAAGAGGCAGAGGAAAAAUUAAUAAGAUUAAAAAGAACCCCUAUUCUUCUCUACCAAUAAUGAGUAGUCUGGUAAUGCAAAAGCGGCUGCUCUUGAAAAAACUUUCAAAUAAAAGCAUUAGCAAAGGAUUGAUUAAAAAUAGAUAAUAUAUUUAGCCAAAUAGCUUUAGAGUUAACUGAUGAACCCACUGAAAUUGCAGAACCUAAGAAAUAAAAGCCAUAAAAAUGUAACCAAAAAAUUGUGAAGAAACAAGCCUAAAAACAUAGUCUCGAAUGGUCAUCUACAUCAAUAGUGUCUUCGAUAUCUUCAUCACCACCGUCAUUGUUAUGUAAACCUACGAAAAUAAAUAAUGAAACUAAAAAAAACGAAUUAAUGACAGUACUAACUACAUAGUUGGUUAAAAAAUUAGUUCAUAAUCUACACCAUACUACCUUGAUCAUCUUCAUCAUCACCAUCAACUAAACGUAGAAAAAUAAGAAAAAUCAACUCGAAUUUGAAGGACAUAAAUAUGCAUAUGGAAAUAGCACAUGAAGACAGUACAUUAGCAACAAUUGCUGAUAAUCCCUUUUCAUCAUCAUCAUAAAUCUGAAACAGAA